Molecule: long non-coding RNA, 1277 nt
Filed under: Dromaius novaehollandiae (emu)
Lineage: Eukaryota; Metazoa; Chordata; Aves; Casuariiformes; Dromaiidae
Description: lncRNA (ENSDNVG00000001058.1)
Source: RNAcentral
AAGAAGGGUCAUGCUGAGAAAAUGAAUCUUUUGCAAAUGUUCAUGAAUCUCUGGCAUUCAGGUGCCCUGCAGGAGAAACACAGAGAGACAUAAAAAAAGAUUUUCACCACUUCAUCUCAGCAUGUGGCUCUCAUCUGGUUCUGUGCUCUGCCUGCUCCUUUCCUGGGAUGUUGUUCAAGGAAGCUGCAGCCCAGAAGACUUCUCUUCCCUGCCAAGUGAGAGCCAGCAAAAUGACACCCUUCCCCCAGGCCUCCACCCUCGGUAUUGCAGUAAUUGAAAAGGGAGAUUAUUCCUCGUGUGCCAGGCAUUAACGCUUCAGCUGCUGGAGCAGCUCUUCUGCCCUGAGCAGCGCUGUCAGGGAAGGCCCAYGACACCUCCAGGAAGCUGCCUGCACCCUGCGGCUUUGCUCGCUGCCCCGAGGAUGCAGGUCCUAGUCAACAGGACAGAACCACAUCUGCCUCAGAAAACCACUACCAYUUGAAGCAGCAGCAAAGAGUGGAACUCACACGUCCGCAGCUCACACCUCUGUCCCCUUAGCUCACAGCUGUUGCACUCUGAGCUUGCACAGAAAGGCCUUUUCCACCACUCUCUUUACUCCUCUGUUGCCCUCCCUGUCCUGUUUAUCACAGCGGUGGGUCCAGGCUCUGUGUGUCAAACUGGGAAUCUGCUCAGAAUUAAAACCACCCCAUGGAGGUUACAGCUCAGCCCUCGGUAGACUCAGGUUUGCAUAGCUGUGAGAUUUGAAUUUAUACCUUAAGGGACUUCCAAAGCUGUGAGCCAAUGCCAGUUCCUGAAAACUAGUCUGUUUCUCCUAACUAGUUAAGGAAAAUGGAAAAUCCACCACAUGUUGGGAGCCCUCCUGCAGGAGACUCCUCACAGAAGCUGGCUGUCCUCCUGACUUGGGGAGCCUGUGGGGAGCCAUGGAAAAAGGUGCAUCUCAGACGCCAAGGAAGCAUCACUUGGUGACACCACGUCUCUUGAAUUUCUUCACUCCAUCUUUACACUCUUGUUAGAGAACUGAGGAGAGGCAUAUGGCCUGACUAACUGUUAAUCCACUUUCCUCAAAGAGUAGCUCUGCCCACUGGUCCUUGUGCUUCAUUUUAGAGAAAGCUCCUCUCCGAGGCACUCUGUGGGCAUAUAAAAUUAACGUAAAGCCUGUAGCCAUGGGAGAGCGCUACACAACUGCUGUGCAAGCCCUACACAAACAAAUUGGAUUCAUCCCUGACCACUGCCUGUGCAGAGAGCUCCUCAGAACGUUGCAGGGCUCACACCAGUGC